This 90-nucleotide transfer RNA is filed under the name Myrmecia israelensis. RNAcentral describes it as "Myrmecia israeliensis tRNA-Ser". It matches the Rfam family "tRNA". From Rfam's summary of the family: Transfer RNA (tRNA) molecules are approximately 80 nucleotides in length. Their secondary structure includes four short double-helical elements and three loops (D, anti-codon, and T loops). Lineage: Eukaryota; Viridiplantae; Chlorophyta; Trebouxiophyceae; Trebouxiales; Trebouxiaceae. The record is from RNAcentral.
GGAGUGAUGUCUGAGUGGUCGAAAGAGCUCGAUUGCUAAUCGAGUGUACAUGUUUAAAAUGUGCCGAGGGUUCGAAUCCCUCUCACUCCG